RNAcentral lists this transfer RNA (78 nucleotides) under Paracoccaceae bacterium. RNAcentral describes it as "Rhodobacteraceae bacterium tRNA-Pro". It matches the Rfam family "tRNA". From Rfam's summary of the family: Transfer RNA (tRNA) molecules are approximately 80 nucleotides in length. Their secondary structure includes four short double-helical elements and three loops (D, anti-codon, and T loops). Lineage: Bacteria; Pseudomonadati; Pseudomonadota; Alphaproteobacteria; Rhodobacterales; Paracoccaceae. The record is from RNAcentral.
CGGGCCAUAGCGCAGCUUGGUUAGCGCGUUCGUCUGGGGGACGAGAGGUCGUGAGUUCGAAUCUCACUGGCCCGACCA